GAUGAAGAACGUAGCAAAAUGCGAUACUUGGUGUGAAUUGCAGAAUCCCGUGAACCAUCGAGUUUUUGAACGCAAGUUGCGCCCGAAGCCUUUUGGCCGAGGGCACGUCUGCCUGGGCGUCACGCAUCGCGUCGCCCCCCACAAUUCUCCGUAAAGGGAACAUGUGUUUUGGGGGCGGAUAUUGGUCUCCCGUGCUCAUGGCGUGGUUGGCCGAAAUAGGAGUCCUUUCGAUGGACGCACGAACUAGUGGUGGUCGUAAAAACCCUCGUCUUUUGUUUCGUGCUGUUGCUCGCAAGGUAAACUCUUUAAAAACCCCAAUGUGUCGUCUCUUGACGACGCUUUGACCGCGACCCCAGGUCAGGCGGGACUACCCGCUGAGUUUAAGCAUAUCAAUAAGCGGAGGA
This 404-nucleotide unclassified non-coding RNA is filed under the name soil metagenome. Its description in RNAcentral is "partial contains 5.8S ribosomal RNA, internal transcribed spacer 2, and large subunit ribosomal RNA". The stretch from base 1 to 122 matches the Rfam family "5.8S ribosomal RNA", at positions 35 to 154 of the family's 154-position model. The record is from RNAcentral.